This 241-nucleotide long non-coding RNA is filed under the name Lathyrus oleraceus (garden pea). RNAcentral's name for it is "Pisum sativum (pea) long non-coding RNA (PSAT_LNC012445)". Lineage: Eukaryota; Viridiplantae; Streptophyta; Magnoliopsida; Fabales; Fabaceae. The record is from RNAcentral.
UAAGCCACCUACCUUUCACGCCAUAAACCAACUCAUCCAUAAACCCUCUUUUCGAUACUCAUUUUUUCCAUAAAAAAACCUCACGCACUGCAUACCUUUUCCACCCCUUCAGCUAUUGCGCAUGAACCAUCUUCCUUUCCACAUAUCUAUUCCAAACACUACUCCUCCAUCAACCUCUCACUCAUUUCAAAUAAAAAUAAAGAAAAAAACUAAAAGAGAAAGGUGAAAAACAUGAACUUCU